Molecule: ribosomal RNA, 253 nt
Filed under: uncultured bacterium
Lineage: Bacteria
Description: partial 16S ribosomal RNA
Rfam family: Bacterial small subunit ribosomal RNA
Source: RNAcentral
UACGGAGCGCGCAAGCGUUGUUCGGAAUUACUGGGCGUAAAGCGCGUGUAGGUGGCCUGGCAAGUCGGGUGUGAAAUCCCGGAGCUCAACUCCGGAACUGCAUCCGAUACUGCCAAGCUCGAGUCUCGGAGAGGAUGGCGGAAUUUCCGGUGUAGAGGUGAAAUUCGUAGAUAUCGGAAGGAACACCAGUGGCGAAGGUGGCCGUCUGGACGAUGACUGACAAUGAGACGCGAAAGCGUGGGGAGCAAACAGG